CCCUUAGAUGUUCUGGGCCGCACGCGUGCUACACUGAGUGGAUCAGCGGGUCAGGUUGCGCGAAAGCGUUUCCUAAUCUUUAAAUCCGCUCGUGAUGGGGAUUGACGGUUGCAAUUUUCUGUCAUGAACGAGGAAUACCUUGUAAGCGCGGGUCAUCAUCCCGCGCUGAAUACGUCCCUGCCCUUUGUACACACCGCCCGUCGCUCCUACCGAUUGAGUGGUCCGGUGAAAUCUCCGGACUGGCGUGAGUCGGAGCAAUCUGACAAACACCGGAAAGUUGAUUAAACCUUACCAUUUAGAGGAAGGUGAAGUCGUAACA
RNAcentral lists this ribosomal RNA (319 nucleotides) under uncultured eukaryote. RNAcentral's name for it is "partial 18S ribosomal RNA". It matches the Rfam family "Eukaryotic small subunit ribosomal RNA", at positions 1470 to 1796 of the family's 1831-position model. The record is from RNAcentral.